CCUACGGGAGGCAGCAGUGGGGAAUAUUGGUCAAUGGGCGCAAGCCUGAUCCAGCAACGCCGCGUGAAGGAAGAAGGCUUUCUGGUCGUAAACUUCUUUUAUCAGGGACGAAACAAAUGACGGUACCUGACUAAGAAGCCCCGGCUAACUACGUGCCAGCAGCCGCGGUAAUACGUAGGGGGCAUGCGUUAUCCGGAUUUACUGGGUGUAAAGGGGGUGUAGGCGGCAGUGUAAGCCAGAUGUGAAAGCCUCGGGCUUAACCCGAGGAUUGCAGUUGGAACUAUAGUGCUAGAGUACAGGAGAGGAAUGCGGAAGGCGUAGUGUAGCGGUGAAAUGCGUAGAUAUUAGGAAGAACACCAGUGGCGAAGGCGGCUUUCUGGACUGAAACUGACGCUGAGGCACGAAAGCGUGGGGAGCGAACAGGAUUAGAUACCCCGGUAGUC
RNAcentral lists this ribosomal RNA (443 nucleotides) under uncultured bacterium. Its description in RNAcentral is "partial 16S ribosomal RNA". It matches the Rfam family "Bacterial small subunit ribosomal RNA", at positions 338 to 795 of the family's 1533-position model. The record is from RNAcentral.